AUAGACGGAUUAGCGGCGGACGGGUGAGUAACACGUGAGUAACCUGCCUUUUACACAGGGAUAGCCUCGGGAAAACCGGGAUUAAAAAACCUGAUGAAACUAUCAAAAUCACAUGAUUAAGAAAGUUAAAACUCCGGUGGUAAAAGAUGGACUCGCGUCCCCAUUAGCUAGUUGGUGAAGGUAACGGCCCACCAAGGCAACGAUGGGUAGCCGGCCUGAGAGGGUGAACGGCCACAUUGGAACUGAGAAACGGUCCAAACUCCUACGGGAGGCAGCAGUGGGGAAUAUUGCACAAUGGGGGAAACCCUGAUGCAGCGACGCCGCGUGAGCGAAGAAGGCCUUCGGGUCGUAAAGCUCUUUUAUAUGGGAAGAUAAUGACGGUACCAUAAGAAAAAGCCCCGGCUAACUACGUGCCAGCAGCCGCGGUAAU
Molecule: ribosomal RNA, 430 nt
Filed under: uncultured bacterium
Lineage: Bacteria
Description: bacterial SSU rRNA
Rfam family: Bacterial small subunit ribosomal RNA
Source: RNAcentral